GAUGAACGCUGGCGGCGUGCCUAAUACAUGCAAGUCGAGCGAACAGAUAAGGAGCUUGCUCCUCUGACGUUAGCGGCGGACGGGUGAGUAACACGUGGAUAACCUACCUAUAAGACUGGGAUAACUUCGGGAAACCGGAGCUAAUACCGGAUAAUAUAUUGAACCGCAUGGUUCAAUAGUGAAAGACGGUUUUGCUGUCACUUAUAGAUGGAUUCGCGCCGCAUUAGCUAGUUGGUAAGGUAACGGCUUACCAAGGCAACGAUGCGUAGCCGACCUGAGAGGGUGAUCGGCCACACUGGAACUGAGACACGGUCCAGACUCCUACGGGAGGCAGCAGUAGGGAAUCUUCCGCAAUGGGCGAAAGCUUGACGGAGCAACGCCGCGUGAGUGAUGAAGGUCUUCGGAUCGUAAAACUCUGUUAUUAGGGAAGAACAAAUGUGUAAGUAACUAUGCACGUCUUGACGGUACCUAAUCAGAAAGCCACGGCUAACUACGUG
RNAcentral lists this ribosomal RNA (497 nucleotides) under uncultured bacterium. RNAcentral's name for it is "partial 16S ribosomal RNA". It matches the Rfam family "Bacterial small subunit ribosomal RNA", at positions 28 to 507 of the family's 1533-position model. The record is from RNAcentral.